AGAAUGGCCAUGGGAAGACCCACUGGGAGGCUGUUGAGUUGCCCAGGAUACAACUAGAGUCCAGGAAGGAUCGCAGCCCUACUGAGAACUUGAAAGACCCCAAGUUCCAUCCUCAAAGCAUCCUCGCUGCUGCAUCAUUACAAAAUCCCCGUGAUCCACCUUUUCAAAGGUACAUGUUAACUUAUCUACAUGGUGUGUGCUUACUGAGUGCCUAUGGGGCUGUCCAGCUCCAGCUCCCUGUGUCGAAGGGAGGACCAAGGGAAGGGAAGGCUCUCCUCUCACCCUGGAGGGGCUUGUGGCUUGCUGGGCAGAGGAGACGCAGUGCACCUUGCAGCGCUGGACAGGGCACCAGGCAAUGUGUGGAACAAGGUUUCCAUGCCUGCAAAGUGCAGGAAAGACAACUCAGGACGGAAACAUGGACAGCCAAGAAGCUGGGAAAAAAUGAUCCUUUGCACUAGCAAACAAA
Molecule: long non-coding RNA, 466 nt
Filed under: Homo sapiens (human)
Lineage: Eukaryota; Metazoa; Chordata; Mammalia; Primates; Hominidae
Description: non-protein coding lnc-TSHZ3-4:1
Source: RNAcentral